UACGUAGGGUGCGAGCGUUAAUCGGAAUUACUGGGCGUAAAGCGUGCGCAGGCGGUGCUGUAAGACCGAUGUGAAAUCCCCGGGCUUAACCUGGGAACUGCAUUGGUGACUGCAGCGCUGGAGUAUGGCAGAGGGGGGUGGAAUUCCACGUGCAGCAGUGAAAUGCGUAGAGAUGUGGAGGAACACCGAUGGCGAAGGCAGCCCCCUGGGCCAAUACUGACGCUCAUGCACGAAAGCGUGGGGAGCAAACAGG
RNAcentral lists this ribosomal RNA (253 nucleotides) under uncultured bacterium. RNAcentral's name for it is "partial 16S ribosomal RNA". It matches the Rfam family "Bacterial small subunit ribosomal RNA", at positions 524 to 776 of the family's 1533-position model. The record is from RNAcentral.